RNAcentral lists this long non-coding RNA (3854 nucleotides) under Callithrix jacchus (white-tufted-ear marmoset). RNAcentral's name for it is "lncRNA (ENSCJAG00000080068.1)". Lineage: Eukaryota; Metazoa; Chordata; Mammalia; Primates; Cebidae. The record is from RNAcentral.
UGCUUGCUGAUUAUCACACCCGGGAGGAGCAGGAGGGGCUGCCCAAGGAAGUGCUCCGGGGCCGAUUCCCAUCACCGAGGAGCCCCAGCUGCCCGCGGAAGUCGCCGGGUCCCGGUCAGGCGGGUCACGAAGCCCGGCGGGGCUGAAGCGCGAGCACAUCUGACAGAGGCUUCCACGCGUCCCGCGGUGCGCCCGGUGCGGCGGGGGCACCUCCACUCCGCCGGGGCCCGAGUUCGCUGGGGGACAACUUACUGCGCUCGCCGAGCGUCCACACUGCAAACUCACAAGCGGGAGGGGGGAAACAGCCCAGGCUGUGCGGUGCCGAGGAGUAGAGGCAACAAAAGACCGAGAGACGAGGGGAGGGAGGCAGAAACGAAGGGAACCCUGGCUCUGGCCCCUCGCUCCCCGAAAGCGCCCCUUGGAUGCUGCUGGGGAGGCCCUCCGGGCUUCUCUUUGGGGCUUCUGGGGCCCGCGGCUCAGACAGCAACAGCCGCCAGUCCGGCCGCCCCGAGCCGCCGCCGCGGGCUCAACUCCACCCGGCGGAGCCCGGCGCGCCGCAGCCACACAAAAGAGGCGCGAGGGCCGGCGGCGCGGCUGCAGGGGCCCGCCCGGGAGCACCGCGCUAGGAGACGCCGCCUGCGGGAGGAGGAGCGGCGGAGAGGAGGGCUCCGAGACGGGAUGCGGGAUGCGGAGGACCUGACACUUCUUGGAAACUCUUGGAAAUGGCUCCCGCCACGGCGCCGGAGGGGGCUGCGAGCCUGGGGCGGGCGCUCGCCCCCGCGGGGCUGCUGAGCGGCGCUCCGAUGAAGGGCCCCGGGGCGCUGUCCCUGCGCUCCGCCGUCGGCUCGGGCUGAAAAAGUUUCUCCAUGGUUCCUUUGUGUUGCCCGAGCGCCCGUUCGCCGGCCCCGACCUCCCCCGGUCUCCCUGGGUAAGUGAGCGAUCUUAUGUGCGGAGAGUGCUGCCAUUUUGAGCAAUUCUGCCAGUCCCCAGCCCCCGGGGCCACUCUCCGCCCCUCAGGUCUCGGAGCCCCCGCGACCCGGGCUGGUGUUCGGGGACAGGCUUUUUACCGGGAGGGCUACACAGGAUGCGCUGCCCAGAAAAAGCGAGUUCAGGAUUGCCCUCACUUCGCUCCUGCCUGUCUUUCCAGAAGCGGACGCGCAGCUGCUGGACUCAUGUGACUCCAGCCAACAUCAAUAAGCAGACCACAGCCAGGGGCCAGGGGGUCGCCGCCCUGCCAGUGAGGGGCCGGGGGUCUAGGACCUGGGUUGGGUGCCAGACACAGAAUAGCGCUCCCAGCCUGUGGGCUCCGAACCUCCGAGCCUCAGAGUGGGGCUUAAUCCAUCAUGAGCUGAGAACUUGAAUGUCUCUCUUGGAAGCAGUUGUAUUUUUAGACAUCCCUCCUUUGCUUCCCCCAUCCUCCAUUCCUUAACCACGGUAAGACCAGCUCCAGGCAGUAAAUGGCGAGGGCAGCCAAGCUUAACUGCUAGUUUGUUAUCUUUCAUUGGGUAUAAAGGAAAACCUCAAAGGUGGGUCUCCCGUGGCAUCUGACCUUUGUCUGUAUGUCAUGUCAGAUGUUGAUACAUUGAAAGGGAGUACAGCCUUCUACAGAGCUGAAGGAAUAAUAAAUGAGGGAGUUAAUUACUAGCUAUUAAACCCAUUUUAAAGAUCUGCUGUAAGGACGGUUGAAAUCCAUUCCAACCUUCCUUACAUUCUACCGGAGCCAAAGCUGCUUUGCUGAGGAGAAAUCCAAGUGGGUGCCCCCCUCCCUCAAGACAUCCAGCAUCCCGGUGCACCUGAUCGAUGCCACACAAAACAUAUAGCCUUUCUCCAUUGGGAGAGCCACCCUGCCAACCGAGUUCGCUUCUAAAAUGUCUGGUCCUUAAAGCCUUCUUUGAGAUAACUACGGAUCUCCAGAUUAUUUAAGAUGCUGAACUCCAGGGAUCACUUACAACAGUCUAUACGUUACAACCACAUCGUAAAUGAGCCUAUUUAUUUGAGAUGAGAGAUGUAGACAGUAAGCUAUUGUUUUUUUAAUCUGUACUUACUGGUGUAGCUCAUUCUUAUAAUAAAAUUUAAAAGCUGUAUAGAUGUAUUCUCUAUACUGAGCCCUCUCUAAUCUACCUGGUGCUUCUCUUUACUGAAACCCAACUAAGUUCCAAAGAGAUAAUGAUUUGCAAACAUUGUAAAGAACUGAUUACCAUGUAUCCCCACUGAUGGAGAAAAAAGAUCCUGCCUAUAUUGGUAUAAUGGAGGAACUCAAGGGCCAAAGCGUUGCACCCAAACACCAGUGAAAAGCAAAAUUCUGCCUGCCACACGUUUUCAAGGGACAAUUUAUUCUAAAACAUGAAUUAUUUGAUAAAGGAUAGAAUACCAAAAGGUUUGGGAGUGAUAGCUAAAUCUUUCCGUUCAUACAAUGCCCUUAAUUUUAACAUCUCAUAGGAGGGAACACAAUCAAUGGAACAGAAAAUGUUUUACUCUGGGGAUACAGCAAGACAGAAAUUUUUAGAGGCUGCCGAAUAACCACAAAUAUGCAUUUGUGAAUUUACCUACCCAGGCUUUAUUACUAACGGCUAAAUAAACUUCCUAAGAGUAGUCCAUUGAUUUUUGCCACCCUCCCUUCCUAAAAAUGACUUCAUGAGAAAAGGAUGAGAAAAAACAAAACAAAACAAAACAAAAAACCUUAACUUUGGCUUGGGGGAAAUGUCAUUCUACAAAUCAUCAUAUUAUGCAGACUGCUUUACCUAGUUAAUUGCCUACUCAUUUGAAUACUGGAAUUCUGUAGCAUGCUUAUGGCACUUGAAUAAGGGGUCAGAAAGCUAUUAUGGCAGAGUGGUUUUUUAACUCUAAUUUUCCCAUGUGAGAAAAAGAUCUUUCUCUUGGAGAUUCCAGGGAACAUCUUAAAUUCCCUGAUGAAAUCUGGCACAUGAUACCUUUAAGGGAGUUCCUCUAGGGAGCAGAGAAGGCCAGAAGGAAGAGCUCAGUUACAUAAGCAGUUACCUAAAACUAAAUAUUCCACCCCAAGAAGCUGUCCAGAUGUUGCCGAGAGGAGAGAAGGCUGUGCAAGGGAUCUGCUUGCACUUAGCUAUAGGAACAGGCAUAGGUGGGAGACAACUUUGUGAAGGGAUUUAUUGUCAGAGUAUUGCAAUAUCUCUGCUGCUUCCCCAGUGAUGAACUCUCUAUUAAUUAUCUGAAGUAAAUAAACUGCCUGACUGCCAUUAUAUGACCUUUAAUUUUCAUCCAGUGAAAUAAAUUCCUUUGUCUUCAUACGGUAGUAACUUUUGUGACUGUUUUGGGCCACACAUUGACAGAUUCCCCAGCUUAGGGAGACUUGAAGCUCUUGUGGCAGCUCCCUUGAAAAAUCUUCCAAUUCCAGUAGGACUAAAGGAAAGAAUCUUGCCAGGAAAGUCCUUAACGUUCCUACAUUUAGUUUUUACUAAUGGCUGGAACUCCGUUGUUCAUUUCAAACCCUCAUAUUACCCAUGGAAUGUAUGGGGGAGAUGGACGAGGAGUGGGGAGAAGAAGGCAUACUCUCAUAUUGUUUUCUCACCACCUAUUAGUUAUUGCAAUGUUUUAUAACAACCUAUUAGUUGUUGCAACAACAUUUCCCUUCCCUAAUGUCUACCUGGCCCCAGCUUCUGUACACGGCCUUCGUUUGGGUUAGCGGAUAAAGUCCCUGGGGAGGGACACAUUUGGAGUGGGAUCUGGGAGCAGGGCAGUUGCAGCGUGAGAUGUCACUGCAGCCAAGCCAACACCUUCUGAUUGUCUUCCUCUGCUUUGCAGCAGGAGGAGGUGGCUGAGCAGCUAGUGGGCAGUUGGCGCCCUCCCUGCGCAAGCCUCCACCCCAGAGGCUAGUC